RNAcentral lists this ribosomal RNA (427 nucleotides) under uncultured Mizugakiibacter sp. Its description in RNAcentral is "bacterial SSU rRNA". It matches the Rfam family "Bacterial small subunit ribosomal RNA", at positions 353 to 772 of the family's 1533-position model. The record is from RNAcentral. Lineage: Bacteria; Pseudomonadati; Pseudomonadota; Gammaproteobacteria; Lysobacterales; Rhodanobacteraceae.
AGUGGGGAAUAUUGGACAAUGGGGGCAACCCUGAUCCAGCAAUGCCGCGUGUGUGAAGAAGGCCUUCGGGUUGUAAAGCACUUUUAUCGGGAAAGAAACACUGUCGGCUAAUACCCGGCGGGACUGACGGUACCCGAUGAAUAAGCACCGGCUAACUCCGUGCCAGCAGCCGCGGUAAUACGGAGGGUGCAAGCGUUAAUCGGAAUUACUGGGCGUAAAGCGUGCGUAGGUGGUUCGUUAAGUCCGUUGUGAAAGCCCCGAGCUCAACUUGGGAAUUGCAGUGGAUACUGGCGGGCUGGAGUGCGGUAGAGGAAGGUGGAAUUCCCGGUGUAGCGGUGAAAUGCGUAGAGAUCGGGAGGAACACCAGUGGCGAAGGCGGCCUUCUGGACCAGCACUGACACUCAAGCACGAAAGCGUGGGGAGCAAA